CAAAAGAUAUCGGACCGAAAACAAAUGGAUCUGGACAAUUCUAAUGACCUCAAUGUCCAGGUUAGAAGUCCAUCAAAUUUCAAGAUCUUUACGCCAAAGAAGGUAUUGGCAUUUGAGGAUACAAAACAAAGGGCAUGGCAGUGGAAAAAGGCGAUUGAGAGUCUUCAAAA
This is a long non-coding RNA of Jatropha curcas, 170 nucleotides long. RefSeq lists it as uncharacterized. NCBI's taxonomy places the organism in Eukaryota, Viridiplantae, Streptophyta, Magnoliopsida, Malpighiales, Euphorbiaceae. The record is from RefSeq and is a predicted model, not a curated record.